Molecule: ribosomal RNA, 469 nt
Filed under: uncultured bacterium
Lineage: Bacteria
Description: partial 16S ribosomal RNA
Rfam family: Bacterial small subunit ribosomal RNA
Source: RNAcentral
GACGAACGCUGGCGGCGUGCUUAACACAUGCAAGUCGAACGGAAAGGCCCUGCUUUUGUGGGGUGCUCGAAUGGCGAACGGGUGAGUAACACGUGAGUAACCUGCCCUUGACUUUGGGAUAACUUCAGGAAACUGGGGCUAAUACCGGAUAGGAGCUCCUGCUGCAUGGUGGGGGUUGGAAAGUUUCGGCGGUUGGGGAUGGACUCGCGGCUUAUCAGCUUGUUGGUGGGGUAGUGGCUUACCAAGGCUUUGACGGGUAGCCGGCCUGAGAGGGUGACCGGCCACAUUGGGACUGAGAUACGGCCCAGACUCCUACGGGAGGCAGCAGUGGGGAAUAUUGCACAAUGGGCGGAAGCCUGAUGCAGCAACGCCGCGUGCGGGAUGACGGCCUUCGGGUUGUAAACCGCUUUCGCCUGUGACGAAGCGUGAGUGACGGUAAUGGGUAAAGAAGCACCGGCUAACUACGUGC